GGCGGGGUUUUAAGCAGGACCAACAUGGCGGCUCGUUUAAAGAAAGUAAAAUGAGUUUCUGCAAACACGUGAGGCGACAGAUGAACGGCGUAGUUUAUGGAUCGGACUUUAUUGUCGUUUCCGGUCGCCAUUGUUGAGUUUUUGUGCAGGUUUCAAGGAGACGUCGAGGCGGACAGUUUUUACCUCGGUGACGGAUUCUACUGCUGCCUGACUGACUGCGGACAUGUUCAACACGCUGACACAGUGAAGCAGGUGGAGUUCACAAGAAGAUGAUCCUGCUGCUCCUCAUCCUCACCUCCUCAGCAGGAGGAGAAGUGGAGGUGACACAGAAAUACUACCAGGCGGAGGAAAAGCACCACAUCACACUGGAGUGGACGUUCACCACAAACACUGAUGAUACAGCUGAGGCGAUUCAUAUCUACUGCUGUCGUUCAGCCAAUGAGAAGUGCCCUCUUCUAUAUGAUGUCUAUGAAGGUGUUGAGCACCCAGAAAUAGUGCAUGAAGGUUUUUCAGGAAGAGUCCAGGUGGACACAGACGCCCUCAGAGAAGGACGAAUCAGACUUCAUCUGUCCAGACUCAGGACUGAAGACUCUGGUCUGUACUGGUGUGCUGUGAUGCCGGAUCAUGAUUCUGAGUACAGCGGCGCCAUGUGUGAACUGACUGUCUCUGCUGCUGAGAAACUAACGCAGAGUCCACCAGCAGCAGACACAGGAGGACAGACAGGACUCACCAUUGGACUUACAGCAGCAGGAGGAGUUCUGCUGUUUAUUAUGUACAGGGCUAUUGUCCAAAACAGAAAGAGAAAAAAUGAAUGACAUGUAGAGUCUCAAAAAAUCAGCACCCACCCCACUGAGCACGUGCAGACCUCCUCUUCCUCUGACAGCCUUCAUCAAACAUGUGGUUUUACAAUAGACAAUAGGUGUUAAGUUGUGGGUGUGAGUGCCCCCUGGUGGUAGAACAUGAUAACUACAGUCAGGAAGACCGCUGCAGAUGUGUGAAUGUGAACACACUGUGUUAUUUACACACACACAGAAUGACUGACACACACAUGUAAACAUGUAUAAAUACACACUACAUUAAGACAUCACAGCAUUUGAUCUAUUUUAACGUGAGUAUUGAUCAAACAGUGAAACACUGCUUUGUGUUACAGUUUGUAUGAUAGCAGGGUGGAGUAUACCAUGGCACAUUCACACCCACUGCUGUGUUGUUGAUCAUGUGUGUGUGUCUGUAACGUUGCAGCAGCAGGUUUGUGUUUUGUGCAGGUGUCCUGUCAGGAACAUUUUACUUUAGUAUAUAACUCUGAUAAACAGUGACACUGCUGCAACAUUCAAACCUGUGUCUGAGUCUGAGCUGUCUCCAGUGUUUCUGUUUGUAAUGUGAAGGAGACAUUAAUACUGAAUAUUUUACAGUAAAACACUGUUAAUCUUUACGUGGCUCAAAAAUGUUGGACAUGGUCGUUUAUUUUUUCAAUAAACGGCUGACGCCUGUCAGGGAUGAAAUUCCCCUUGUUUCUUCUGAUCCCCUCCCAAGUUGGUUUAUGAGGAAGGAGCGGAUAAAUUCUGGUCUCAAGAUUACAAUUUAUUGAACAAUGAGGCAGAUUCUGAGUCACAGAGCUCUGGGUUGUUGAGACACAAAGAACCAAACAAGAACGAACAAAGCAACAACAACCCCUGGACAUGGAAUUCACACAUUGAUAUACCACAGGGGCGUUCCUGCCCCCCCCCCCCCCUCUUGCAGACCCUGGGUCAUACAGCGAAUAGACGAUUAGUGUUUAUUCCCUAAUAAAGUAAAGCUUCAAUUCCUUAAAUCUCGUAGGUUGUGAGGCCGGUCUAGGGAUGACCAUAAACUGGGCACUCAGGAGAAUAACACAUUCCUUUAGAAUCUGGCUUUUAUCAGGUCCGAGGUGCUGCUGUCCUUAGAUUCAGUAUCCUCGAAUUACUUAGAUUUUCUAUAAAACUUCCUAACACAUAAACACUUAUGAAAAUCACAUUAUUAAGUGAUAAACACUUGAAUACUUCAUGUUAGGGACACACUUUUAUACAUGUGAACACACACUGCAUGUUAACAGUGCAGAAUAAAUUCUUUCACCCUUCACACCUGACGGUGCAACAGUAACAGCACCAAUUGUUUCUGAAUAACUUGGAACAUGCUCAUUUGUUGGACUUGGAACAACAGUAACAUUAGAGAACAGGAAGAGCUGGGGUGUGUGAGGACUGUGAUUCCUCUGGUGGACUAAAGCUGCAUAAACAAUGGUUAGACUGUUAAAUCUUUGGACUUUUUACAAAUGAACCUAACACAUCUGCAGCUCUGCUCCAGUCCCCUUGUUUCACAUGAUCAUUUUGAACAGUGUGUCCAAGAGGCAUCUGGAC
This is a long non-coding RNA of Parambassis ranga (Indian glassy fish), 2369 nucleotides long. Lineage: Eukaryota; Metazoa; Chordata; Actinopteri; Ambassidae. The record is from Ensembl.